Albula glossodonta (roundjaw bonefish) is the source of this 70-nucleotide non-coding RNA. The record is from the annotation of a GenBank genome assembly. Lineage: Eukaryota; Metazoa; Chordata; Actinopteri; Albuliformes; Albulidae.
GCCUUAGCCUAGUGGUUAAAGUCUGGGAUUAAAAUUCUGAAGGUUAGUGGUUCAAAUCCCACUGACGGCA